UUCGGAUUCAGAUACUUCUCCUUAUGCACCUUGUGAGAAAUCAUAAGUUUUUGGGUUCUGGGGGAAGUAUGGUCGCAAGGCUGAAACUUAAAAGGAAUUGACGGAGGGGCACCACCAGAAGUGGAGCGUGCGGCUUAAUUUGACUCAACCACGGGAAAACUUACCAGGUCCAGACAUUUGAAGGAUUGACAGAUUGAUAGCUCUUUCAUGAUUAAAUGGGUGGUGGUGCAUGGCCGUUCUUAGUUGGUGGAGUGAUUUGUCUGGUUAAUUCCGAUAACGAACGAGACCUUUACCAGCUAAAUAGUAAUUGUUAGAACUUGUUCUAGUAAGAUAUACUUCUUAGAGGGACUAUUGGUUUUUAAACCAAAGGAAGUAAAGGCGAUAACAGGUCUGUGAUGCCCUUAGAUGUUCUGGGCUGCACGCGCGCUACAAUGAUCAACUCAUCAAGUUAUCUCAACUUGUUUGUGAUCUACUUUUCCUGAAGGAGUGGUUAAUCUUCAACGUUGAUCGUGCUUGGGAUAGAUAAUUGUAAUUAUUUAUCUUGAACAAGGAAUUCCUAGUAAUCGUAAUUCAUCAGAUUGCGAUGAUUACGUCCCUGCCCCUUGUACACACCGCCCGGC
RNAcentral lists this ribosomal RNA (620 nucleotides) under Vannella sp. VAN_811/10. RNAcentral's name for it is "bacterial SSU rRNA". It matches the Rfam family "Eukaryotic small subunit ribosomal RNA", at positions 1059 to 1677 of the family's 1831-position model. The record is from RNAcentral. Lineage: Eukaryota; Discosea; Flabellinia; Vannellidae.